RNAcentral lists this long non-coding RNA (1271 nucleotides) under Anser brachyrhynchus (Pink-footed goose). Its description in RNAcentral is "lncRNA (ENSABRG00000004143.1)". Lineage: Eukaryota; Metazoa; Chordata; Aves; Anseriformes; Anatidae. The record is from RNAcentral.
GUGAAGUGGCUGCUUCACUGUGGGAAGGCUGGUCAGUGGCUCAGGGCUUCCCCUCACAGCAUGUGAAUCAUCCUCUCACAGCAGGAUCCCAGUUGGAAGGGAUCUCAGGAAAUCCUCAAAGCACGGUCAGCACAGAGUUUAGACCAGAAACAACACGAUACGAUUCUUCUGCCAGUCAUGGCGGGAGCAAAUCCCUCUUGGUGCCUCCUGCCAAGGAGGUGUGUGGGUGCCUGUGAGAAAGAAGAGGAGGGAAGGAGAUAUGGUCUGUUUUAGGAACCGAGAUAAGAAACUCUACCGGCAGUUGAGCCCAAAAGGCUGUAGGGAAGGAGGGAAGGGAACAGAGAAAUUCAUCUUGGGCGUUUGAGAUAAGAGUCAUGGUUUCAGAAAACAUUUUUUUUUUUUUAAUUUAUUCUUCAGAACCUUGAGGACUAGGAGCAAAUUAUGAUACAUGGCCUAACUCCUCUGAUCUUUUAUGUCAUACAGGCAUUUGCACUUAGGGCAAGUGACUGAAGAAAAGCUAUGCUGCUGCUUGUGCUGCCUCUGCCCAGGAUAGGGACAAAUGGAAAUCACACCAGUGAGGGACAGAAAGGACCAAAAACGUGUUUUCCCUUUGAAGUUUCCUUGGGAAGAGCCCCCAGUAAAGACCAUCCACCAGAGAGAGGUGGUGUCAUUGUGCCACAUGUGCAGGCACAGCCCAGCUCCAAGCCAGCUUCAUCCAAUGCAGGCACUGGGACACAACAGAGGAAAACCAGGAAGAGCUUUAAACUAAGAAAUGAUGGAGCAAGUCUGGAAGUGUUUUUCCUAUAUGCAAUUAUGAGCAGACUGCAAGAAGAAAGCAAGGCAAAGGAAGAUGCAUCAAUCGAAAAAAACAAUGUCAGUGGUAGGAAGAAUACCCAGCCAAGAGAUGAAGAGUACAAGUAUUUAUGACAACGGAAUGCAGCACAGAGUCUGGCCAGGAUGGCAACUAGCAGUGCUGCUGGCACCUUCCCUCUCACUGACAGAGCAAAAAAAAAUCAUGAACAGCAUCACUGACAACACAUCAGGCCAUGGACCAAUGUUUAUUUGCUUUUUCCAUUUGCAGUACUCAAUAAGGAAUGUUAAUGGAAAGUUGUUUAAGCUCAACAGGCAAAAGCUAAACUCAUGAAUAAGAGGUCUUGGAACAUUUUUAUUUGAAAUUUCCUUCUUGUUCCUCUCACCCCCUCCACCCCUCCCCUUCUUUCCUAUUAAACUGAAGUCAAUUUCCCUAAUAAAGUUCAAGGCUUUUAAAUCCA